UUCAUGCAUUUUCGUGUAGUGUCUUGAAUGACUGAAAGAGUUCUGCGCAUCAGCUUAAAAAAGAAAAACUAACGAUUCCGGAAAACUCCGGGAAUUGGACCGGAAAAACCUUGACAGCACUGAAAGAUUUUCACACCGAGGCCGACAACAAAGAGAGCGAUAAAGCUCGACAAACUCCAUCAUCCGACCGGACAAAAAUCGGAGCAGUUCCAGCGGAAACAAGGUGAACACUCCGCCGGAACAACCAGCACCACAUCAUCAAGAGUCACAGCAGUAAACAUACUUGGCGGAAGAAAAACAUCGUUCAAAUUGUGUUUUGGUUUUAUUCAAGUGAGCAGAACACACGACUUCCUGGAUCGCACCAAAAGGAAUCUCCGAUGGCCCCUAAAUAUUCUUCCGAGGAGCACCACGGGCUACGAAAUCAGGAGAAUCGGACAGAAGAAAAAGCAAUGCCUUUACGGAAAACCCGAACGUUAGGAAUUCCGUUAAAAAGUGCGGAUAAAAUGGUUUUGUUCAUUCUCCCGAAGUUACCAUCUGUUGACGGUUGCAUUUCGCCGGAUCAGCAGAGUCGGGUAAAAAAGCUCUUACCAUUCAAGGUGGUCAGUGGUUCAAGAGUCCCCGGAAUAAGCUUCAAUGGUUCCGAAGACUAUCGCGUAGUCCACCUUCUGGUAAGCUUCCGACGUUGCGUUGCUUGAUCGACUUUGCCAGAAGCACCUUCAUUGAUACAAAAAGAUGAUGGCAGCAAAACUCUAAAACAAUUUCGAACACUUGCUCGGGGAUAAAUGCUGCAGGGGUUCACUAUGAUCGUUCUGCUAUGUAGCUUUUCUCUGCUCUUCGAGUUUUUUUAAACCAAUCUGAAGCAACAAAAUCAACGGCAGCUGCAGCUCCGCAUCAACUACGCGUCAGGUUUUCCGCAGUCAUCAUAUCUGAUGGU
Long non-coding RNA from Uranotaenia lowii, 934 nucleotides. RefSeq lists it as uncharacterized. Lineage: Eukaryota; Metazoa; Arthropoda; Insecta; Diptera; Culicidae. The transcript is spliced from 6 exons. The record is from RefSeq and is a predicted model, not a curated record.